Molecule: ribosomal RNA, 720 nt
Filed under: uncultured Vibrio sp.
Lineage: Bacteria; Pseudomonadati; Pseudomonadota; Gammaproteobacteria; Vibrionales; Vibrionaceae
Description: bacterial SSU rRNA
Rfam family: Bacterial small subunit ribosomal RNA
Source: RNAcentral
AAGUCAGAUGUGAAAGCCCCCGGGGCUUAACCNUGGGAGUGGGCAUUUGAGACUGGNCAGGCUAGAGUNUUGUAGAGGGGGGGUAGAAUUCCAGGUGUAGCGGUGAAAUGCGUAGAGAUCUGGAGGAAUAUCGGUGGCGAAGGCGGCCCCCUGGACAAAGACUGACGCUCAGAUGCGAAAGCGUGGGUAGCAAACAGGAUUAGAUACCCUGGUAGUCCACGCCGUAAACGAUGUCUACUUGAAGGUUGGGAUCUUGAAUUCUGGCCUUCGGAGCUAACGCGUUAAGUAGACCGCCUGGGGAGUACGGUCGCAAGAUUAAAACUCAAAUGAAUUNACGGGGGCCCGCACAAGCGGUGGAGCAUGUGGUUUAAUUNGAUGCAACGCGAANAACCUUACCUACUCUUGACAUCCAGAGAAGCCAGCAGAGAUGCAGGUGUGCCUUCGGGAACUCUGAGACAGGUGCUGCAUGGCUGUCGUCAGCUCGUGUUGUGAAAUGUUGGGUUAAGUCCCGCAACGAGCGCAACCCUUAUCCUUGUUUGCCAGCACGUAAUGGUGGGAACUCCAGGGAGACUGCCGGUGAUAAACCGGAGGAAGGUGGGGACGACGUCAAGUCAUCAUGGCCCUUACGAGUAGGGCUACACACGUGCUACAAUGGUGCAUACAGAGGGAAGCAAGAGCGCGAGCUGGAGCGGAUCCCAAAAAGUGCAUCGUAGUCCGGAU